This 528-nucleotide ribosomal RNA is filed under the name Amphiura sp. 310.3E. RNAcentral describes it as "LSU rRNA". It matches the Rfam family "Bacterial large subunit ribosomal RNA", at positions 1809 to 2620 of the family's 2925-position model. Lineage: Eukaryota; Metazoa; Echinodermata; Ophiuroidea; Amphilepidida; Amphiuridae. The record is from RNAcentral.
AAAAACAUCGCCUCUGGAAUAGGAUCAAGAGGUUCUGCCUGCCCGGUGACUUAAUUGUUAAACGGCUGCAGUACUCUGACUGUGCAAAGGUAGCAUAAUCAUUAGCCUAUUAAUUGUAGGCUUGUAUCAACGGCUAGACGAUGGAGAAGCUGUCUUUCUUUAUUAGAUCUGAAAUUAAUAUUAAGGUGAAGAGGCCUUAAUAAAAUAGUGGGACGAGAAGACCCUAUUGAGCUUUAGCCUAAAUUAAUAAAGUUUUUAUUAAACAGGUUUGGAUUGGGGCAAUUGUUUCUAUAAAAAGACAGAAACGUAUAAAUAAUUAGUGAUUCAAAUCUUUAUAAAGAUCCAAAAUAAUUUUGAUCCUUGGAACAAGUUACCCUAGGGAUAACAGCGUAAUUUCUCUUGAGAGUACACAUUGACAGAGAAGUUUGCGACCUCGAUGUUGGAUCAAGAAUUCCUGAAUGUGCAGCAGCCUUCAAGGGUUGGUUUGUUCAACCAUAAAAAUCUUACGUGAUCUGAGUUCAGACCGGA